AUUCCUUGAAUGUCAUCUGGAGGAAAUGCUCUGUGACUGAGUGGUUCAAAAAAAAAAAAAAAAAAAAAAAAAAAAAAUUGUUCUUAUCAGUUUAAUAUCUGAUAAUGUCCCUAUCUGGGGACCAUAUUAAAUGGAUUUUUGGGACAGGGAGAUGGAAGAAGAGCUGCUCUAACCACUCCACGCAUUGACCUUGGUAUUGCAGUACCUCCAGGACCGGUAACCUCUC
Molecule: non-coding RNA, 226 nt
Organism: Pelobates cultripes (western spadefoot toad)
Lineage: Eukaryota; Metazoa; Chordata; Amphibia; Anura; Pelobatidae
Source: the annotation of a GenBank genome assembly